Alligator mississippiensis (American alligator) is the source of this 349-nucleotide long non-coding RNA. RefSeq lists it as uncharacterized. NCBI's taxonomy places the organism in Eukaryota, Metazoa, Chordata, Crocodylia, Alligatoridae. The transcript is spliced from 3 exons. The record is from RefSeq and is a predicted model, not a curated record.
AUCUGAAUUGAAUCAGGGGACCAAUUAAAAGGUCUGAAUUGAUCUGAAGCUCUCCGAAUUGAUUUGGAAAAGAUUUGGAGAGCUUCAGAGAUUCGGGCAGUCCCCACUUGCUGCAGCCAGGAGGUAGACCCGGACUCGGAGCUGGCCACAUCAUAGGAGCAGGAGCCAAGGACUUUGAGUCCCCCUAUCAGGCCAAACUUGGUGGACCUUCAGGGAUCCAUAUGGACAAGCCUCUGUAGAACCUGGAACGGGGUUUAUGCUUUGUAGAGAUGGAGAGCUCUUCCCUAUAUAUUGAUGGGGGGACAUGAUCUGGACAAUUUUUGGGUGAGCAGAAAGUUACCUUAUGAGG